Molecule: ribosomal RNA, 244 nt
Filed under: Pantoea agglomerans
Lineage: Bacteria; Pseudomonadati; Pseudomonadota; Gammaproteobacteria; Enterobacterales; Erwiniaceae
Description: partial 16S ribosomal RNA
Rfam family: Bacterial small subunit ribosomal RNA
Source: RNAcentral
CGGCCGCAAGGUUAAAACUCAAAUGAAUUGACGGGGGCCCGCACAAGCGGUGGAGCAUGUGGUUUAAUUCGAUGCAACGCGAAGAACCUUACCUACUCUUGACAUCCAGCGAACUUAGCAGAGAUGCUUUGGUGCCUUCGGGAACGCUGAGACAGGUGCUGCAUGGCUGUCGUCAGCUCGUGUUGUGAAAUGUUGGGUUAAGUCCCGCAACGAGCGCAACCCUUAUCCUUUGUUGCCAGCGAUU